Molecule: ribosomal RNA, 1089 nt
Filed under: Triticum aestivum (bread wheat)
Lineage: Eukaryota; Viridiplantae; Streptophyta; Magnoliopsida; Poales; Poaceae
Description: partial small subunit ribosomal RNA
Source: RNAcentral
AUGGCAGCUCAUGCCCCAACGAUGGCAGUCCCCACCGACGCCCAGCUGAUUCAGGCGCAGGCUGACUUAUGGCGGCACAGCCUGUGCCACCUCACGGCCAUAGCACUCAGGUGCGCUGUCCAGCUCGGUAUCCCUACUGCGAUACACCGACUCGGCGGCACAACAUCGUUGCCCGAGCUUGUCACCGCACUGUCCCUCCCACCAUCUAAGACACCAUACCUUGGCCGUGUCUUGCGGUUGCUGGCCACAUCAGGCGCCUUAGCAUCCCCUAAGGAGGGGACCUACUCCCUCGUCCCGCUAUCAUAUCUCCUGGUGGAUGGUGUAUUCAUUGAUGGUGAGGCUAGCCAGAAGGCCAUUGUGCUUGCCACAACCUCAAGACAUUACAUAGAGGCGGCCUUGGGGCUAGCUGACUGGUUCAAGAAGGACAUCGCACCAUCGCCAUCACCAUUUGAGGAUGUGCACGGUGCCACACUCUUCGAGGAGAGUAUGGCGCUCCUCGACCCAGAGUCAGACAAGGUGUUCCAUGAAGCUCUGGCUGCCCAUGACCAUUUGGGGAUCAGCACCAUAUUGCGGGAAUGCCAUGACUUAUUCAAGGGGGUGCAGUCACUCACCAAUUGUUGUGGUGGUGAUGGAACGACGGCUAGGGCUAUUGUCAAGGCCUUCCCGCAUAUCAAGUGCAAUGUGUUGGACCUUCCGAAGGUGAUUGAGAAAGUCCCGAGUGAUGGUAUCAUUAACUAUGUCGCUGGUGACCUAUUCCAUACCAUUCCACCUGCUCAAUCUGUGAUGCUUAAGCUUGUUCUGCACUUCUGGAACGACGAAGAUUGCAUCAAUAUCCUGGCUCAAUGCAAGAAGGCCAUUCCGUCCCGCGAAAUGGGGGGAAAGGUUAUUGUCAUAGAUAUAGUAGUCGGCUCAUCAUCCAAAGAAAUGUUAGAAACCCAACUGUUGGUGGAUAUGCUCAUGUUAGUAUGUACAAGAGGACGUCAACGAGAUGAAAAUGACUGGAGCACAAUCUUUACAAAAGCAGGAUUUAGCGACUAUAAAAUCUUCAAGAAACUGGGACCUCGAGGUGUCAUCGAGGUCUAUCCUUAA